Molecule: long non-coding RNA, 668 nt
Organism: Anguilla rostrata (American eel)
Lineage: Eukaryota; Metazoa; Chordata; Actinopteri; Anguilliformes; Anguillidae
Exons: 2
Source: RefSeq, a predicted model, not a curated record
CUCACGACUUCCAGCAAUAUGGCCUCCACCACAACUACCACACUUAAUCUCCUUUUCCUUACAAUGAACAAUCUCAUGCUCACCCCCACAUUUACCGCUCCUUCUAGUUCCACGGCAAGCAGCUGCAAUAUGGCCAUACUUCUGGCACUUAAAACACCUGAAGGGUGGCCUCCUAUGUGGAUGAACUUUAAAGGACAAACAUCCUAGGAACACUCACUCUGGAAGAGCCUCUUCCUGAAAAGUUAACACUGCAACAGUUGACUCACGUUUAGUUCCAUCCCGAAAAACUCUUAUUCAAAAUGCCUCAGCAACCUUCGCACCAUCAAUGCCCCUGACCAGUUCCUCCAUAGAAGGUAAAUGCAAGACCCCAUAGAUCACUCCUUUCAUACCAGCCCUACUCCCUGGGACAAAUCCUUCCACUCGCCUCUUCCCUUUCGCAUCCAGAGAAACAGCUUUGGUCAACUGAGUAGCAGACUUACAGUAAACAAGCAGCUUUCCAUCUGCCAGAAUCCUUGCAUUUACAAUUUCAGCCAGCUCUUCCUUCAAUGCACUAGCGAGCAGACUGCCCUACCUUCAGUUUAAAGAUCACUUUAAACUCUUCUGACUGGCUGCUGUCCAUUCUCAUUAUCUUUACCUGCUCUCCCCCUCCGUCUGACUCCUGAGAUGAA